RNAcentral lists this unclassified non-coding RNA (350 nucleotides) under soil metagenome. RNAcentral's name for it is "partial contains 5.8S ribosomal RNA, internal transcribed spacer 2, and large subunit ribosomal RNA". The stretch from base 1 to 120 matches the Rfam family "5.8S ribosomal RNA", at positions 35 to 154 of the family's 154-position model. The record is from RNAcentral.
GAUGAAGAACGUAGCGAACUGCGAUAAGUAAUGUGAAUUGCAGAAUUCAGUGAAUCAUCGAGUCUCUGAACGCACAUUGCGCCCCCUGGCAUUCCGGGGGGCAUGCCUGUCCGAGCGUCAUUGCUGCCCUUCAAGCCCGGCUUGUGUGUUGGGUCGUCGUCCCCCCCGGGGGACGGGCCCGAAAGGCAGCGGCGGCACCGCGUCCGGUCCUCGAGCGUAUGGGGCUUUGUCACCCGCUCGAUUAGGGCCGGCCGGGCGCCAGCCGGCGUCUCCAACCUUCUAUUUUACCAGGUUGACCUCGGAUCAGGUAGGGAUACCCGCUGAACUUAAGCAUAUCAAUAAGCGGAGGA